AUUUUCACGUUUGAUUAAAUCAGUUUCGGUACUAUCAACAAAAAGAUAUAUGUCCAUUGCUCAUAUAUCUGGGCGAAAAUAAGUUAUUUGUUAUUGGUACAAUAUAAGAAUGAGUGACAAAACCAUUUCGAUCCAUCUUACAGGUCGGAAUAAAAAUUAAUUUGUAGUUCAUCAAAUUAUUUUUGUGUUCAAUCAAGCUCGCAAGCUCAGCAUGUCUCUACGCAUGUAUAAAUGCGUGCUUAAAUUACUAAAGAUUCUUAGUGGUCUACCAUACAUAAUCACAAAUAAAAACAUUGUUAUAAAAUUCAUUGUCAGGUGUCUAUUUCAACGGCAACUUAAACUCUCUCUUUGACUGCGAUUCAUCAUUUUUUAUUUUUUAUUUAUUUCGGCAAAUGUAUAAAUUAUAUAGAAAAUAUCGAUACCGACUCUGGUGAGACAGAACACUCUCCCAUUUUCAGAUAUUUGAACUUGACUAUCAUCAAAUCAAAUAACUGUGCUAUCAUCACAAAACAGCAUGUCCAAAUUCCAGUUUCGAACCAAUUUUUAAUCUCUUAAGCUGAACAAAACCAGGAAAAACGUCCAAUAGAAAUGUUCACAAUUCUUGGACACGAUUUUUUACUAAAUACGGUCGUCAGGUCAGUUUUGUUUUAGAUAUGGUUCGAGUAACUUUCGAGAUGAAGAUGAAUUUAUGUUAGAGUGUUCUGUGCAUUUUUGUUUUAAUUUCUUCGGAUCGCAUUAAUGGAUAUCCAUUGGAAGUUGACGUGAAUCAGCAAAAAAUCGAUCAGUUUUCCUUUUACUCGGAGACCGAAUCAUUGAGCUCUGAGUUGGGAUGCUAUGACAUAUUACACAAUGAAAUAGAGCAAUUAAAUGCGUAUUUAAGGCCAACAGUCACAGAGAAUCGAUUGCGAGACAGCGUUUUGACGGGUAUCAAGUCAGUGAUGUUAGAUAUUUGGCCCAGUGCACGUUUCGAAUUAUUUGGCAGCUAUGGUACUAGACUUUAUUUACCAAAAAGUCGUUGUGCUGGAGGUUUCCGAUCCCACGCCACGUCAUACAUUGAAGAAAACUUUCCUGGCCAGAAAUAUUGCCGAACCGAAUACAAUUUCAUUUGUCGAUAAAACGGCAUGGCCAAUCUUCAAGUUUACCGAACGUGAAUGUAAAAUAAAAUUCGAUGUUACAUUUAAUGAAGAUGAUGGGCGGAAGAAAUGGAAUUCAAUUCAUGAAUAUUUACAGAAAUAUCCAAUUUUACGGACACUAAUUAGGACGUUGAAAGUAUUUUUAGGUCAAUAAAAGCUGAACAACACAUUUAAAGAUGGUGUUUCAUCGUACGUCAUAAGUUUAAUAUGUAUCAGCUUCGUUCAAUUGCAUCUCCAUCACCGCAAAGUCAACGAAAACGCAAACCUAGGCGUACUACUUGAAGAUUUUUUAGAUUUUUAUGGCCGGAAAUUUAAUUACAAUGAUACGUGCAUCAGCAAUUUGAACAAUGGCCAAUAUUUUCCAAAGACAAAACGGCAAAAUUUCACAUUUGAAAAAAAACCGUUGGAUUUGUUAUGCAUUGAAGAUCCAACAACACCUGGUAACAAUGCAUAUUUAUCACCACACGGCAUAUCGAAAGUGAAACAAACAUU
Long non-coding RNA from Sitodiplosis mosellana (orange wheat blossom midge), 1625 nucleotides. RefSeq lists it as uncharacterized. The record is from RefSeq and is a predicted model, not a curated record. Lineage: Eukaryota; Metazoa; Arthropoda; Insecta; Diptera; Cecidomyiidae. The transcript has 4 exons.